RNAcentral lists this transfer RNA (57 nucleotides) under Ovis aries (sheep). It matches the Rfam family "tRNA", at positions 8 to 63 of the family's 71-position model. From Rfam's summary of the family: Transfer RNA (tRNA) molecules are approximately 80 nucleotides in length. The record is from Rfam by way of RNAcentral. Lineage: Eukaryota; Metazoa; Chordata; Mammalia; Artiodactyla; Bovidae.
UAGCUCAGUUGGUAAAGAAUCUGCCUGUAAUGCAGAAGACCCUGGUUCAAUUCCUGG